Molecule: ribosomal RNA, 351 nt
Filed under: Triticum aestivum (bread wheat)
Lineage: Eukaryota; Viridiplantae; Streptophyta; Magnoliopsida; Poales; Poaceae
Description: partial small subunit ribosomal RNA
Source: RNAcentral
AUGAUGGCACUGGGUCCGUUAAUGUAUACUUCUGGUUUGAUGGCCGUCAAGACUCCAAGGAUGCUUGGUCGUUCAACGAAGGCAUGUAUGUACGUGUUGUUGGGAGGGCUACCAGUUUGGAGCAAUUUUUCCAAAUCAAAGCCUACAUGGACCGUAAAGAACUUCAAUGAUAUAACCCAUCACUUUAUCUACUGCAUCAAGGCCCAUAUCAAUAUUUCUAAGCAGAGCAGACUAAAGCUUCAGGAAAAUUCCGUUGCCACCCCGUCAGCAUCAACCGUCAUGCCAAGGUAUCAGAUUGCUCCGAGCCAGAUACCAGAAGAUUGCAGCUUUGAGGAGAAGAUAUUUUCGUGA